This 747-nucleotide long non-coding RNA is filed under the name Hordeum vulgare. RNAcentral describes it as "long non-coding RNA (HVUL_LNC021285)". The record is from RNAcentral. Lineage: Eukaryota; Viridiplantae; Streptophyta; Magnoliopsida; Poales; Poaceae.
GAAUGGAUAUCGUUACAAGUACGUGUAUUGAAAAGAAGAGAUAUAUAAAGAGUUGGCUUACACUCGCCACAAGCUACAUCAGAGUCACAUCAGUACAUUACAUAAUCAUCAAGAGUAAGAGCAGGGUCCGACUACGGACGAAAACAAACGAGAAAAAUAAGAACGACGUCCAUCCUUGCUAUCCCAGGCUGCCGGCCUGGAACCCAUCCUAGAUAGAUGAAGAAGAGGAAGAAGAGGCAACUCCAAAUGAACAAUCAACGCGCUCGCGUCAACUAACCUUUACCUGCACCUGCAACUGGGGUUGUAGUAAUCUGUGAGCCACAGGGGACUCAGCAAUCUCAUUUCCAAAGGUAUCAAGACUAGCAAAGCUUAAUGGGUGAGGUAUGGUUAAGUGGUGGGGUAGCAGCAGCUGCUAAGCAUAUAUUUGGUGGCUAACUUACGAGUACAAGAAAUAAGAGGGGGGGAAAGAUCUACGCAUAACGGACGUGAACUACUGAUGAUCAAAAGAAUGAUCCUGAACACCUACCUACGUCAGACAUAACCCCACCAUGUCCUCGAUCGGAGAAGGAACUCACGAAAGAGACAGUCACGGUUACACACACAGUUGGCAUGUUUUAGUUAAGUUAACUUCAAGUUAUCUAGAACCAGUGUUAAACAAAGCUUCCAUGUUGCCACAUAACCGCGGGCACGGCUUUCCGAAAGAUUUAACCCUGCAGGGGUGCUCCAACUAGUCCAUCACAAAUUANN